Molecule: long non-coding RNA, 4042 nt
Filed under: Equus caballus (horse)
Lineage: Eukaryota; Metazoa; Chordata; Mammalia; Perissodactyla; Equidae
Description: lncRNA (ENSECAG00000045690.1)
Source: RNAcentral
UCUAUGUCUAUCUAUCUACUUAUCUAUCUAUCUAGAUAGAUGUAUCUAGUCCUGAGGAAGGGAUAUGGCAGAGGGUAGUGCCAUCUUCAGAGGCUUAACAAAUGCCUGGGUGCGGGUCCCCAGCAUUAGUCUGGCCCCUGCAGAAAUCAGAUGGACCAUGGCAGAUGAAAAGGGGUAACCACAAACUGAAUCAAGUAAUAGCCUCAACUUCAGCUAAUGUGCCAUACACAGUAUCUUCACUAGAGCAAAUUAACACAACCUUGGGAACAUGGUAUGUGGCUAUUAAUACUGUGAGUGUGGUUUUUCCCACACUCAUCAAGAAGGAGGGUCAGAAGCAGUUUGCAUGGCAUGAGAUGGACAAUAGUAUAUGGUCACAGUUUUGCUCUGGAGCUACCCACAAGGUUUACUCCAGAGCUAUCCUGACCUCUGUUAUAAUAUAGCCUGAAGUGACACAUGCUAUGUAGACAUCCAGAAGAACAAUGCAUCAGUCUAUUAAAUCAGUGAUGUCCUAUGAAUUGGACCCAAUGAGCAAGAAUGGAUGCCACAGCAGGACAUUCUAGGGGAUGGGAGAAACACCCUACAAAGAAUCAAGGGCCUGCCAUAUUGGUGGACUUUAUAGAUGUUCAGUGGUCUGAGGCAAGCCAGGAUAUUCCAUCCAGAAUAAAAUUCUUGGACCUUGGACCUCUUAUCACUAAGAAGGAAGCAAAACUUAGUAGGCCUCUGGGUUCUGGAGGCAGCAUAUUUUGCACUUGGGAAAACCGAUGCAACCCAAUUCGUCAGGUGACCCGAAAGGCUUCUAGCUCUGAGGGGGCCCAGAGCAUGCAAGGGCUCUGUAGUAGGACUAGGCUAUGGCAUCAGCAUCCCUGUUGUGGGCACUAUGUAACCAAGAAAGCCAUGGUACCAUAGGUAUCUGUGCAAGAGAAAGACACUGCGUGGAACCUCUGCUUCCAAUAGUAAAGACACAUCAGAAACCCCGAGAGUUCUGGAAUAAGGCCAUGAAAUCUACAGAAGAGAACUGUAAGCCAUUCAAAAUACAGCUCAAGGCAUGUAACUGGGCUUGGUAGAAACUGAGCAUCUUACCGUGGGACAUCAAGUGACUAUGUGGCCAGAACUGCCUGUCAUAAGCUGGAAGCUGCCAAACCAAGCAAACAAUAAAACAAGCAGAGCCAGUGACAACCCAUUGUCACACAGAAAUGGUACCUCUGAGGUCAGACACAAGCAGGGCCAGAGGGCGCAAGGAGGCUUCAUAAACAAGAAGCCCAGAUCCUCAUGUCACCUACCGAGUUUCACUGUUCUUCUCUCAGGGCUCACACCUCAUGUGGGGCUCCCUACAACUCUCUGAAGGGGGAGGAAUUAGUCCAAGCUCAGUCCACCGAGUCAUUGACUUGAUAUGUAGGUGUAGGCAUAAAAUGGACCACCACCACAGUGCAGCCCUACUCAGCGGAGGCCCUGAAAGACACCAGUGAGAGAAGAUCUUCCCUUGGGGCGAUGCAUCCGGUCACCAUUUUGUGGGGAUCACUAAGAAGAAAAGAAGCCGUCUUUGGUUGAACUUGGAGCUGGGAGUGUGUACUCCUGAGGCUACCGGCAGCCAUCUUGACAUUGUGAGGAGAAAACCUGCUUGAGAGUGGAACCAACUCAGAGGAAAAUAAAACUGAAAGACCAAAAAAGGACCAGAUUCUGAUGAUCCAUUGUGCCUGGAUCCAAUUGUGCCUGAAACUCUCCCUGGAAUUUUUGCUCAUUGAGGCAACACAUCUCUUUUUAUGUGUGUGAUUAACUCAGUCUGAGUUGAAUUUUUUUGUUGCAGCUGAAGGGUUCCAUGUAAUACUGUCCACAGUUGGACAGACCCUUUCUUAAUCGCCAUACGUCUUAAGGAGGAAUUCAUCUGGAGUUAUGGGAAUGAUGGAUGCUGCCUGUCCUAACGCAGGAAUGCUGUGCCCUGCUCCCCUGUUGUCCCUGAGCCCGGAGGCCCGAGGGGGAGGCUUCAGUGCUGGGGCACUGGGCUGUUUCAUGGAGAGUCACGGUCAGUUGUGCAUCUGCUUUGGAAGAGUAUUUUUAGCGGCAAUAGAGUGGUUUGCAAAUAAACAAAUGCCCGGAACAAAUGCUGAGAAGGAGAGCGCCUGUGUGCGGCCCGCUGUCAAACUAGGUCAGCCUCAGGCACAGCGACUCUUGACAGUUUGCUCCCGAAGGUGGCCCGCAGGUGCCGGCUCCCUUCCCCGCCAAUCAGCCAUCUGUGGUUUGAGACUCACAGGCCUGGGAGAGACUGGAGAUGCCCUCAGCUCUGUGGCCCGCCCUGCCACAUGGGUGUACACCCGCCCCAACCCAGAACCCAGUGGGGUGGAAAACCCUUGAAUUCCCCAAAGUGAACCCCCAGUGCUUUGCUCUGUCAGCAAUUCCAGGCGAUGUGGUCCUUGCAAGUGGCAAAUGUGCGAGUCUAGAGGGCAGAGUAACCACUUUGGAACCAGGCACACCUGACAUCAACUCCCCGCUCUGCUGUGGCACCUGGAAAGAACUGGAAUCUCUGCAUCUUCCUGGCUGACUAAGGAUGCCAUCCUACGGAUUUAGUGAUCUCAUUCCCCAGCACGUAGGAAGUUUUCCACCAGGGUGACUCUCCUUUUCCCCCUUGCUCAAUUCUGAGCUUCCUGAGGGGCAGGUGGAGGCCAUCCUAUUGAUCUCUGCACGCCCCCACCAAGGCCUGCACACAGUAAGUGCUCAAUAAAUGCUGAGCGCUCGUAUGACUGAAUCACAUCUUCCCACACUCGGCUGUAUGGCCUCAGCUGGGGCCACGCUGGGGGCCUCAGGUCUCCCUGACUCUGAGGCUCUCUAUUUCAGCUGUCCCACUCAAAGCCGGCAUGAGACUUCUCUGAGUUGAUGGGGACCCCCGUUUGUUUGUUCCACUGAGACCUACGUGGGGUGAGGGCUGAUGCCUCAAAGCAGAGAUCUCAAGAACCUCAGUAGGUACAGCCUACAGAUGUGACUGAUCACACCACUCCCCCGCUUGGAACCUUCUAGUAGCUUUCCCUGGCUUUGAGGGAAAAAGUCUAAACUCAUCACCAUAAUAGCCAAACCCCUAGUGAUCUGGCCUCAUUGUGUGAACAGUGUUGCCCUCACACUCCAGUCAGCACGGCCCUCCUCGCUGUUCCUCAGACACACGGAGCUUGUCUGCCUCUGCCAUUUCCUCAGUCUGGAACGUUCCGCCCUUGGCCUUGUGUGAGGCUAGCUCCUUCUCUCACUCAGGGCUCACCUCGGUUGCUUCCUCCUCUGAGGCACCUCCCCUGUCCUCCCUGCCCAAGGGGGACCCUCCGUGCAUCUCUGUCCUGUCCACCUCACCGAACAUAACAUCCUCCAAAAUUAUCUUGUGCCCUUUUGUGUGUUUCUUGUCUGCCUCUCUCCCCAACUCAAAUGCUUGUCCGUUUUGUUCUCAUCUUAUGCCUAGUGGUGAGAAUAGCGCUGGCGUAUGAUGAAAGCUCAACACACAGUUGCUGAAAGAAUGAGUGAGUGAAUGAAUAAAAACAGAGGGUGGAGGAGCAGGCCCUUCAGGACUGGGGCAUCCCAUGCUUCAUGGAAAAUGCAGUUGUCUGGCAUGGGCAGCCAGCUGGAAGGCCCUGGCUUCCAGGACUGGUGGAGGAGGACAGACCAGGCGAGGGCAGGGCCAGACUCUGGGCCCAGCAGCAGGGGCAGGUCCGGUAGGGUUCCUAACAGGUGAUUGGUCACCACUUGGGAGUGGGGCCUCCCCAGGCUGGGAGAGGAGUCUGUGAGCUGGGCAUAGGACAUGGCUGUUUUGUCUGCCCAGCCUCCAUUCUCCCCUCUUCUGGCAAAUGGUCCCUGGUUUUCCUUGAGGGGCCAGCUCUCCUUCACUCCCAAUCUAUGUGAUCUGGAGAACCUUCUUCCUCCCCUCCCACCCUCCAUCCAGGGCGAGCAUCUGACCCGGGGCCGGCUGUUCAGCUCAUCCCACCUCUUGGCCACAGUGACUGGUACAAGGUUGGCCCAAGCAAAGCCCAUCCUGGGGCUUUUGUUGGAGCAACUGGAUAAGAAGUGAGCAGAG